Molecule: non-coding RNA, 7555 nt
Organism: Odocoileus virginianus texanus
Lineage: Eukaryota; Metazoa; Chordata; Mammalia; Artiodactyla; Cervidae
Source: RefSeq, a predicted model, not a curated record
AAAGCAGGACUCCAUCUUGGCCCGGACUGUGGACUUUGACCUAUACGCCCUGUAUCUAUGGAAACAACAUACAAACUGGAAAAUCAGACCCCCCCGGAUGGAAGAGCCCCAGGGCUCGUACCUAGACUCUCCGUUGCCUAAAAAAAUACCCUAAUUAUCUGUGUAACCAAAUAGAAUCAUAAAUUCUAUUAUGCCUAUUGGGGUAUGGCCACAGGCCUAUUGAUAAUUUUCCACUGUUAACUACCUAGUGUAAGAUAUAGUUCGGGCCGAGGCAGAAAAGGAGAGACGACCUCAACGGAAGUAGGUUACCUGUAUUCAGGCAAGGAGGGGCGACAGUCGGCCUAACAACCAGACUGAGCACAAGAGGGAUCAGGGAGGCUUCAUAUUUCAAAAGGGAGGUUUGUGGUGCGAUAAGGGAAAUGUUAGUCAGGCAGGAUGUUUUGGGUAUUCUUUAGGUGAAUAAAUCUCUAGUUAGAUGGGAAGAAAAAAGUGUAUCAGUGAGUAUGAAUUGGCCUUUCUGGGAGAAGCCUGGGAUGUGGGGCAUCUAAUUCAUCUGUGUUUUCAUCCUCACCCAAUUAAGCCCACCAGGAUAAGAAAGGCAUCUAAAGCAAAGAGGAGAAGAGGUUGUGGACGCUGUGUUGUUCUGGUUUAAACGAAUAAGGCUGCAAGAAAACAACGCCUGACUCCCCACCCCACCCUCCGCCCCGGGUCUGAGCAGGUAAAGCCCUCCUUGACCCUAUUAGACAAAAGGCAGACUGGCAGUUCAAGUGUUUCAUCGAGUGGAAAUACCAAAAAUACCUGGGAUACCAAGUGCUUCUGGAGCCAAAAAAAAAAAAAAAAAUCAACGAGAAGGUAGGAAAAAUGGGAGGAAGCGGAUCUAAGGCAACUGUACUAGAAAACACGGUCAAAAACUUCGUAAAGGGAUUUGACAGAGACUAUGGGACAAAGAUGACGCCCAGCCGGUUCUGCACUCUCUGUGAGGCCGAAUGUCCCGCAGUGGGAGUUGGUUGGCCACCAAAGGGUACCAUGGACUUAAGUUUAACACAGUCAGUCUAUGCCAUAGUUACAGGAAAAUCUGGGCACCCCGAUCAGUUCCCAUACACUCUUGGCUAGGGAUAGCCCAGGAACCCCCCAGAUGGGCCUGAUUUUAUAUCCAAAAUGGGGAGGGGAAGAUAUUAAUGAUUCAAAAAGUAAACAAAGAUGAAAAGGAGAUCUAAAAGGAUCCAGAGAGGUAAGAACUUCCCCCACCACCCUACUGGAUGAUGGUCCCACCAACCAGCGUUCCUGCGGUGCUGAUAGCCUCCCCACAGGGAAUUGACCAGAAGCUGGUAGGCAUCCCAGAACCUCCACCUUCGCCAGUCCUCCCAACAGCCCCACAGGUUGUAAAGCUGCCAUUCCAGCAAGCUCUGACCUUAGUUGAAGGGGCAACAGGCUACAACCCACCAGAUUCAACCACUGCUGACAUCAUAUGCCCCAAGCUGUAUCCUCCCCUCCCGAUAAGUACUUCCAUAUGAGGGGAGGGAGACGUUGGAAUUAAGCAGAGACUGUGCUCCGCCAGAGAGCUGGAGGGAAAGGCACCACUACCGAUGCUUCUUAGAGAUGUGCAACAACCCCCCCGUGUAAGGGGAGGAUGGUGAUUACCAUCUAGCUCCUGUAGAUUACUACCAGCUUUUCUCAUCAAUUGACAUACUAAAUUGGCAGAAGCAUACCCCCCCUCCCCUUACUCAGAAGAGCCACAAGGUAUGACUAGAUUGAUGGAAACCAUCUUUCACACCCAUUGACCAACAUGGGGUGAUGUCAUGCAAUUAUAGACAUCUCUCUUCAGAACUGAGGCGAGGUACAGGAUUAAUACGGAAGCAAAAAAAUGGUUACAAGAGAUGGUUCCAGAAGGUGUUGCAAACCCAGAAAGGUAUAGAGCAAGCCUUCCCCGCUGAUAAACCUAGCACUGUAACACAGAAGAAGGGAGGAUUCAACUAGACAGAUAUCAGACAGCCAUUACACAAGGGUUGAAGAGGGGAGCCGUAAGCCAAUGGACAUAUCAAAACCUGCUGGGGUAAUUCAGAAGGGGAAUGAAUCACCUUCUGAAUUUUAUGAGAGGCUCUGCGAAGCCUAUAGACUUUAUACACCUAUAGACCCAGAAGCUGCAGGGUCUCAGAUUGUGGUAAACUCGGCAUUCAUUUCACAGGCAUACCCCUAUGUUAAGUGAAAGCUUCAAAAGACAGAAGGGGUGCUGUCCAUGUCCAGCUCCCAGUUAAUUGAAAUAGCAGACAAUGUGUUCCAGAACAGGGACAUAGAAAAGAAAUAUGAAAAGAGAUACAAAGAGGAACAAAAGAGAACAGACCAGAGAUUUGCAAUGCUAGCUGCUGCUCUGGGAAAGUCUAUCUCGGGCCCUCCGGAAAAACCUCCUCCUGCCCCAGGGACAAGACAGUACUUCAGCCGGUACCAGUGGAGGCCCUGGGCCCCAUUACAGCCAAACCAGUGUGCCUGGUGCUGAGGUUUUGGCCAUUGGAAGAAUGAAUUCCCUAAGACAAGGAGGGAAGAGAAAGCUCCCGCGGUUGUGGGACUUGCUGACUUGGAAAUUAAAUAGGGCUGCCAGGGCUGAGAGAUACCAGGUCCCCGAGAGCCUGUGGUAACCUUAAAAGUGGGGGAUGAAAACAUUGACUUUAUGGUGGAUACAGGAGCAGAACUGUUGGUAGUAACAAAACCUGUGGCACCAUUAUCCAAAAAGACUACUGCUGUAACUGGGGUAUCAGGAGAAGAGAUGAUUAAAUCAUUUUGCCAGCCCAGAAAAUGCCAGAUGGGGGGACACCAAGUGAUUGAUGAAUUCCUCUACAUUCCUGAGUGCCCAGUACCCCUGUUGGGAAGAGACUUGCUCUCCAAACUAGGAGCACAAGUGAUUUUGUACCCUGAGGAGAGGCCCACCUACUGGGUGGGCACUAUGAUUUAUUGCGCUCUCUCUCUCAAUACCCCACCAAGAUGCAUGGAGGUUGCAUGAGCCUUUGAAGGAAAAACCAGGUGGGCCGCAAGAAUUUGAGAGAGAACUAACUCAAUUAUUCCCUGAGGUCUGGGCGGAAGACAACCCCCCUAGGCUGGCUGGCUAAACAUCAAACUCCAGUGAUAAUAGAACUCAAGCCAGGCACCAUCCUGGUUAGAAUGCGCCAGUACCCACUACCGAUAGAGGCCUGGGUCAGCAUACUACCCCACAUCAAUAGAUUGAAACAAGUGGGUGGGCGCUCUAGUAGAGUGCCAGUCGGCUUGGAAUAUGCCAACCCUGCCAGUCAAAAAAGGAGGACAGGGCUAUAGGCCUGUACAAGAUCUCAGGCUAGUCAACCAGGCCACUGUGACUUUAUAGCCCCCACUGUUCCAAACCCCUAUACCUUACUUAGCCUCCUCUCACUGAGGACUAAAGUUUAUACUCGCCUAGAUCUCAAGGAUGCCUUCUUCUGCGUACACCUCGCCUCAGCGUCACAGCCCAUCUUUGCCUUGGAAUGGGAAGAUCCAGUCGGGGGCACCAAACAACAGCUCACCUGGACUCCCCCAUGAGGGUUUAAGAACUCCCCAGACACCUUUGGGGAAGCCUUGGCUUCUGACCUGGACUCAUUCCAGCUGGAAGAAUAUGGAUGUUGGCUCCUACAAUACGUGGAUGACCUGCUACUGGCUGCCGAGACCAAGGAAAAAUGCUGGGAAGGGACAAAAGCACUGCUUCAACUGCUGAUGGAAGCAGGUUGCCAGGUGUCGAAGAAUAAGGCACAGAUCUGCAAGGAGGAGGUAAGGUAUCUGGGGUUUGUUUUAAAGAAGGGUACAAGGUUAUUAGACCAGUCCAGGAAAGAGGUGAUCCUGAGAAUCCCAACACCUAAGACUCACUGGCAGGUCCGGGAAUUUUUGGGAGCUGCUGGGUUUUGCAGAAUCUGGAUUCCAGGAUAUUCCCAAAUGGCCCAGCCUUUAUAUGAACUCCUGACAAGGCCUGAGGAGAAACCACUAAAUUGGACUGAAAAACAACAAAAAGCCUUUGAUGAGCUAAGGUUGGCAAUUAUAUCAGCCCCCGCUUUAGGGCUGCCAGACCUUGCCAAGCCAUUUACUCUAUAUGUAACUGAAAAAGACAAAAUAGCAAUGGGAGUGUUAACUCAGACUGUGAGAAUGUGGGACAGGCCUGUAGCCUAUCUCUCAAGGUGGCUUGACAAUGUCGCUACUGGGUGGCCCAGAUGCUUGCAAGCAAUUGCCGCAGUUGCCCUACUAGUACAAGAAGCUACUAAAUUGACUUUAGGCCAAGAUCUGGUUGUAAGAGUCCCACAUGAGGCCAACACACUCUUAUGAGGAGAUUCCCCACAAAUGGCCAUCAAACUCCCGGAUUAUUCAGUAUCAGGGCUGUUACGUGAAAACCCUAACCUCCGUAUUGAGCCUUGCCAGACUUUAAUCCCAGCCACACUCCUUCCAGUGGGAAAGGGUGGACCUUCUCAUGACUGUGGGGAAGUCUUAGAAGAGGUCUACGCUAGCAGACCCGACCUCCAAGACCAACCGAUUCUGUACCCUGAUUGGGUCCUAUAUACUGAUGUCACUAGCCUGAUAAAACAAGGACAAUGGCUGUCGGGUUACACCAUAGGCACAGAAAAGACUAUCAUUGAAGCUGGUUCCUUGCCACAACACUGGUCUGCUCAAUGAGCUGAGUUAUGGGCCUUGAUUCGCGCACUCCAGCUGUCAAAAGGCAAGACAGUAAACAUCUUCACCGAUUCCAGGUAUGCUUUUGCCACACUACAUGUACAUGGGGCUCUGUAUAAGGAGAGAGGCCUUUUGACAGCUAGUGGAAAAGAUAUCAAAAAUAAGGAAGAAAUUCUGACCCUAUUAGAUGUUGUAUGGGAACCAGAAAGGGUUACAGUCAUACACUGCCGAGGACAUCAAAAAGAGGAUACCCUCUGGCUUGGGGAAACAGACUGGCAGAUAAGACCGCUAAACAAGCAGCCGAGGGCAUGGGGGUGACAAGUGAGGCCCCUAUUAAAACUUUCAUAUUGGCGGAGCUGCCUAAGCUAAUGCUGGACUCUUCAAAAUACACUGAAUCCCAAAACCAACUAGCCAAAGCAGAAGGGGCUAUCAAGACUGAAAAGGGAUGGUGGGAAUUGCCAAGUGGCAAAUUAUUGGUACCAGAGGAGCUGGCACCCACUCUAGUAAGCCAAACACACCAAGUGACCCACCUAGGCCAUGAUAAACUGGAAGAGCUAAUUUGAAAAUAUUUCUUGGUUCCCCGCCUCUCUCCCCUAUGCAGAACAGAAUCUCAAAACUGCACUGCCUGCUCACAGGUCAGUGUUGCCUCUCGGCACAGACAGAAACCUCCAGGUAUUUACUUAAAAGGCAGGCUGCCCUUUGAACACCUGGAAGUGGACUUCACUAAAAUGAAACCUCACCGACACUACUGUUACCUGCUGGUCAUGUUAAAGUUGCAGGUAUUGCCCCUUGGAUCCAUCAUACGAGGGUGAAGAGAGCAUACCACACAGACCCAGAAAACUCUGAGUGGACUACAUAGAGGGACCCCACUGACCCUCGAGAGACUAAGAUCAUCCUUAAGAAGAAGAAAGAAGAGAAGAUCCCAGAUGAGCCCCUUCAGGAUGAAGCCACAUAAUUAACUCCUGCCGCUUGGUCUCAUCAACAUGAUUUUGAAUUUAACUUCCAUUUCAACUCAGGACAAUGUUUUCAUCUCAUGAACACAUUCCUACAUGGACUUCCACAACACCUACAACUGCUGGGUAUGUGGGGCUAUGCCUCUGUCUGUGAUGGAUGGACUUCCUUGGUGGGUGUCACCACUCUGCCAAGGAGAUUUUAAACCACUCUGCUCUUUUCUGGGACGACAGAAAGAGACUUUCCUUUCUCUUGUCUAUCAUAAUCUCUCCCUGCUCUCUUGGUGUAAGCCAGACCUACAGUCAAUAGACUCAGGUCAUGGGGUUAAUUUGAUGUAAACACCAGUUUCAUAAAAGUAACAAAAGCCUAUACCUUAUAUUUAAAGAAAGGAAAAAAAAAAAACCUCCCUGACCAGCAAGGGAGGACAGGCCUCUAGGUAUGUUGAACAAUUCUUCCAAGUUUGGGAUGAAUAUUUCUGGAUGACCCCAGAAAAGGGUCAAUUAAUUACUCCUGCCGCUAUAUGCUGGGAACAAAAAGAACAAAGGAUAGGGUUUGGUGACUGUCCCUUAGACCUGAAAGAGCUAAAAUAUAUGGGGUACCUAUGCCCCAAACAAUGUAAACGAAUAUUUGAGGUCACAUACCACCCCAACCAGUCCAUCCACUGGCCAGGCUCUGAUUGGAAAUAUAACCCUGGAAUCCACUGGGUGGCACCCAAUGGAACCCAAUGGCUUUGGGAGCCUAACCUUUGGCCUUGGUUACCAGUUGGCUGGGUAGGUCACUGCACAGUGGGAUUCGCUUUUGCCCAUGGCAGCAUAAAGCCUAACCUACAGCAAGCCCUGGUAAAUCUACCUUAUUUACAUGCUAGGUGGACAAGGUGUGUAUUUCAGUGGUGUGAGUAUAUUGCUGCCUUAUUUGUGCCUUCCAUAGGGACAACAGAUAUGAUUAAAGUAGAGGCCUUGACUAAUUUCACAAAACAGGCCCUCCGAGAUAGUGCUAAAGCCAUCCAAGCCUUAAAUGAAGAACAAAUCCAAAUGAGAAAAGUGGUAAUUCAAAAAUGGCUUUGGACAUGCUCACAGCCGCUCAGGGAAGGACCUGUGCUAUAAUUAAGGUUGAAUGUUGUGUAUAUAUUCCUGAUUUAUCUGGCAGUGUAUCGGCUGCUUUAGAUGACAUGAAAAACCGGGUAAAAGCAAUGUCAGAUGAAAACAUUCAUUUCUGGACUUUGCUUCUAUCUCGGGUGAAGGGUGAUUGGUGGAAAACUAUAUUUACCAUUGUUAUAGUUGCCUUGAUAGUUCUGCUUUUUGGACCCUUCAUUUUACAAUGUAUUAUGAACUUUGUAACCCAAAGGUUGGUGUCAUUCUCUCAAAUUGGUGGUCAGAGAACCAGGGUGCAAUAUAUCCCUAUGAGUGAUGCUCAUACUAUGAGUUAAGAGCAUCAAGAGAGGGGGAUGGGGGAGGAAACAGACAGAACACGUUCCAUCUUGAAAGUGGGACUCCAUCUUGGGCCAGACUGUGGACUUUGACCUAUGUGCCCUGUAUCUAUGGAAACGACACACAAACUGGAAAACCAGUCCCCCUGGAUGGAAGAGCCCCAGAGCUCGUACCUAGACUCUCCGUGGCCUAAAAAAAUACCCUAAUUAUCUGUGUAACCAAAUAGAAUCAUAAAUUCUAUUAUGCUUACUGGGGUAUGACCGCAAGCCUAUUGAUAAUUGUCCACCGUUAACUACCUAGGCUUAAGGCAUACAAAUCAUGGGUUUAAGGCGUACACAUCAUGUGUUAACUUUGAUUGUAUCUUUCUUUUCCUUAGUUCAGACUAGUUUCAGAGAGUUUGGGGAGGUAGGUUUUAGCACAUACACCUAGGGUAUAUAAGGUUUUCACAAAAACUGGUCGGGGUCCUUGGCUAAGAGGAGACUCUGCCUUGGGCCCGCCAGUGUAAUAAACUGCACUCCACC